UACAGAGGGGGCAAGCGUUGUUCGGAAUUACUGGGCGUAAAGGGCGCGUAGGCGGCCCGCUAAGUCGAACGUGAAAUCCCCGGGCUCAACCCGGGAACUGCGUCCGAUACUGGCAGGCUUGAAUCCGGGAGAGGGAUGCGGAAUUCCAGGUGUAGCGGUGAAAUGCGUAGAUAUCUGGAGGAAUACCGGUGGCGAAGGCGGCAUCCUGGACCGGCAUUGACGCUGAUGAGCGAAAGCUAGGGGAGCAAACGGG
This 253-nucleotide ribosomal RNA is filed under the name uncultured bacterium. Its description in RNAcentral is "partial 16S ribosomal RNA". It matches the Rfam family "Bacterial small subunit ribosomal RNA", at positions 524 to 776 of the family's 1533-position model. The record is from RNAcentral.